UACGAAGGGGGCUAGCGUUGCUCGGAAUUACUGGGCGUAAAGGGCGCGUAGGCGGUCCGCUAAGUUCGGCGUGAAAUCCCCUGGCUCAACUGGGGAACGGCGCUGAUACUGGUGGACUCGAGUACCGGAGAGGAGAGUGGAAUUCCUGGUGUAGCGGUGAAAUGCGUAGAGAUGCGGCGGAACACCGAUGGCGAAGGCAGCCCCCUGGGCUGAGAUUGACGCUCAGGCACGAAAGCGUGGGGAGCAAACAGG
Molecule: ribosomal RNA, 252 nt
Filed under: uncultured prokaryote
Description: partial 16S ribosomal RNA
Rfam family: Bacterial small subunit ribosomal RNA
Source: RNAcentral